This is a small nucleolar RNA of Tachyglossus aculeatus (Australian echidna), 138 nucleotides long. The record is from RefSeq and is a predicted model, not a curated record. NCBI's taxonomy places the organism in Eukaryota, Metazoa, Chordata, Mammalia, Monotremata, Tachyglossidae.
CCCUUCUUAGGGUAGCACCUGGAGAGUUUCCAGAACUCUACCAGUCCCGACUACGGGAGGGAGAGUCAAGCAAAAGCAUAUCUAUUCCAUUCCUAGCUUGGACAGUGGCUAGCAAAUGGAAGACAACCUGCUACAAGU